This 201-nucleotide long non-coding RNA is filed under the name Nicotiana benthamiana. RNAcentral describes it as "long non-coding RNA (NBEN_LNC005858)". The record is from RNAcentral. Lineage: Eukaryota; Viridiplantae; Streptophyta; Magnoliopsida; Solanales; Solanaceae.
UUGGUCAAUCUUCAAAACUCCAUCUGAACUUGGGCAAACAAAUUCCCCCUUUUUGAUGAAGACAAACUCUGUGCCUUUACUAAUCAGGGAAUCUAUGGAACUCAGCUGAAUUAUCAACACUGUAACUUAGAAAUUUUAACUUAUCAUUAAGGACCAGCUUUAAUCAGGUUAUAAAUAUUGGCAUCAUCAAAAAGUUGUAUA